AGUGAACGCUGGCGGUAGGCCUAACACAUGCAAGUCGAACGGCAGCACAGUAAGAGCUUGCUCUUACGGGUGGCGAGUGGCGGACGGGUGAGGAAUACAUCGGAAUCUACUUUUUCGUGGGGGAUAACGUAGGGAAACUUACGCUAAUACCGCAUACGACCUACGGGUGAAAGCAGGGGAUCUUCGGACCUUGCGCGAUUGAAUGAGCCGAUGUCGGAUUAGCUAGUUGGCGGGGUAAAGGCCCACCAAGGCGACGAUCCGUAGCUGGUCUGAGAGGAUGAUCAGCCACACUGGAACUGAGACACGGUCCAGAGUCCUACGGGAGGCAGCAGUGGGGAAUAUUGGACAAUGGGCGCAAGCCUGAUCCAGCCAUACCGCGUGGGUGAAGAAGGCCUUCGGGUUGUAAAGCCCUUUUGUUGGGAAAGAAAAGCAGCAGGUUAAUACCCCGCUGUUCUGACGGUACCCAAAGAAUAAGCACCGGCUAACUUCGU
RNAcentral lists this ribosomal RNA (491 nucleotides) under uncultured bacterium. Its description in RNAcentral is "partial 16S ribosomal RNA". It matches the Rfam family "Bacterial small subunit ribosomal RNA", at positions 29 to 506 of the family's 1533-position model. The record is from RNAcentral.